This 199-nucleotide long non-coding RNA is filed under the name Solanum tuberosum (potato). RNAcentral describes it as "long non-coding RNA (STUB_LNC007944)". Lineage: Eukaryota; Viridiplantae; Streptophyta; Magnoliopsida; Solanales; Solanaceae. The record is from RNAcentral.
GGACCGGAGCACCGCUUGACCCUCCUCCUCCGCGUGGCUAAUACGAUUUUCUAUCGAGGUUAUUGGUGAGUCCUCCAUUCCGGGGACGUUGCUUAUGAUCUUUUGCUAUGUAUAAGACUUUUCUUUUUAGUUAUGUUUUGACUAUGAGGGUGAGCCCAGUUGUUUGUCUUGGCCCCCGCUAAAGUACCUAUGUUUAGAG